RNAcentral lists this ribosomal RNA (792 nucleotides) under uncultured Sulfurovum sp. Its description in RNAcentral is "bacterial SSU rRNA". It matches the Rfam family "Bacterial small subunit ribosomal RNA", at positions 505 to 1298 of the family's 1533-position model. The record is from RNAcentral. Lineage: Bacteria; Pseudomonadati; Campylobacterota; Epsilonproteobacteria; Campylobacterales; Sulfurovaceae.
GUGCCAGCAGCCGCGGUAAUACGGAGGGUGCAAGCGUUACUCGGAAUCACUGGGCGUAAAGCGCGCGCAGGCGGCCUUUUAAGUUGGAUGUGAAAGCCUAUGGCUCAACCAUAGAACUGCAUCCAAAACUAUUAGGCUAGAGUGUGGGAGAGGAAGAUGGAAUUAGUUGUGUAGGGGUAAAAUCCGUAGAGAUAACUAGGAAUACCAAAAGCGAAGGCAAUCUUCUGGAACAUUACUGACGCUGAGGCGCGAAAGCGUGGGGAGCAAACAGGAUUAGAUACCCUGGUAGUCCACGCCCUAAACGAUGAAUGUUAGUCGUCGGGUAGCUAGUCUAUUCGGUGAUGCAGCUAACGCAUUAAACAUUCCGCCUGGGGAGUACGGUCGCAAGAUUAAAACUCAAAGGAAUAGACGGGGACCCGCACAAGUGGUGGAGCAUGUGGUUUAAUUCGAAGAUACGCGAAGAACCUUACCUAGCCUUGACAUAUAUUAGAACUCAGCAGAGAUGCAGAGGUGCCUUCGGGAGCUUUUAUACAGGUGCUGCACGGCUGUCGUCAGCUCGUGUCGUGAGAUGUUGGGUUAAGUCCCGCAACGAGCGCAACCCUCGUCACUAGUUACUAACGGUUCGGCCGAGGACUCUAGUGAGACUGCCUUCGUAAGGAGGAGGAAGGUGAGGACGACGUCNAGUCAUCAUGGCCCUUACGGCUAGGGCAACACACGUGCUACAAUGGCCAGGACAGUGAGANGCNAUACCGCGAGGUGGAGCAAAUCUAUAAACCUGGUCUCAGUUCGGAU